RNAcentral lists this ribosomal RNA (17 nucleotides) under Hebeloma sinapizans. RNAcentral's name for it is "partial 28S ribosomal RNA". Lineage: Eukaryota; Fungi; Basidiomycota; Agaricomycetes; Agaricales; Hymenogastraceae. The record is from RNAcentral. RNAcentral also lists the same sequence under 2 other names.
CGCUGAACUUAAGCAUA